RNAcentral lists this transfer RNA (74 nucleotides) under Candidatus Vidania fulgoroideorum. RNAcentral's name for it is "Candidatus Vidania fulgoroideae tRNA-Gly". It matches the Rfam family "tRNA". Rfam says of the family: Transfer RNA (tRNA) molecules are approximately 80 nucleotides in length. Their secondary structure includes four short double-helical elements and three loops (D, anti-codon, and T loops). Lineage: Bacteria; Pseudomonadati; Pseudomonadota; Betaproteobacteria. The record is from RNAcentral.
AGUGUUUGUAUCUCAAAGGUUAGAGUUUAAGCCUUCCAAGUUUAAAAUAAGGGUUCAAAUCCCUUCAUUCACUU